CCUACGGGAGGCAGCAGUGGGGAAUAUUGGACAAUGGGGGGAACCCUGAUCCAGCCAUGCCGCGUGUGUGAAGAAGGCCCUCGGGUUGUAAAGCACUUUCAGUGAGGAAGAACGCCUGGUGGUUAAUACCCAUCAGGAAAGACAUCACUCACAGAAGAAGCACCGGCUAACUCCGUGCCAGCAGCCGCGGUAAUACGGAGGGUGCGAGCGUUAAUCGGAAUUACUGGGCGUAAAGCGCGCGUAGGUGGCUUGAUAAGCCGGUUGUGAAAGCCCCGGGCUCAACCUGGGAACGGCAUCCGGAACUGUCAAGCUAGAGUGCAGGAGAGGACGGUAGAAUUCCCGGUGUAGCGGUGAAAUGCGUAGAGAUCGGGAGGAAUACCAGUGGCGAAGGCGGCCUUCUGGACUGACACUGACACUGAGGUGCGAAAGCGUGGGUAGCAAACAGGAUUAGAUACCCGGGUAGUC
RNAcentral lists this ribosomal RNA (465 nucleotides) under Vreelandella stevensii. RNAcentral describes it as "partial 16S ribosomal RNA". It matches the Rfam family "Bacterial small subunit ribosomal RNA", at positions 338 to 795 of the family's 1533-position model. Lineage: Bacteria; Pseudomonadati; Pseudomonadota; Gammaproteobacteria; Oceanospirillales; Halomonadaceae. The record is from RNAcentral.